Molecule: ribosomal RNA, 253 nt
Filed under: uncultured bacterium
Lineage: Bacteria
Description: partial 16S ribosomal RNA
Rfam family: Bacterial small subunit ribosomal RNA
Source: RNAcentral
UACGGGGGGGGCAAGCGUUGUUCGGAAUUACUGGGCGUAAAGCGUGCGUAGACGGUUUCGUAAGUCGGGUGUGAAAUCCCCGGGCUCAACCUGGGAAUUGCAUUCGAAACUGCGAGGCUAGGGUACGGAAGAGGGAAGCGGAAUUUCUGGUGUAGCGGUGAAAUGCGUAGAUAUCUGGAGGAACACCGGUGGCGAAGGCGGCAUCCUGGACCAACACUGACACUGAGGAGCGAAAGCCAGGGGAGCAAACGGG